UCCUCGGUAGCUCAGUCGGUAGAGCAGGUGACUGUUAAUCACUUAGUCGGGGGUUCAAGUCCCUCCCGAGGAGCCA
Molecule: transfer RNA, 76 nt
Filed under: Coxiella burnetii
Lineage: Bacteria; Pseudomonadati; Pseudomonadota; Gammaproteobacteria; Legionellales; Coxiellaceae
Description: tRNA-Asn
Rfam family: tRNA
About the family: Transfer RNA (tRNA) molecules are approximately 80 nucleotides in length. Their secondary structure includes four short double-helical elements and three loops (D, anti-codon, and T loops). Further hydrogen bonds mediate the characteristic L-shaped molecular structure. tRNAs have two regions of fundamental functional importance: the anti-codon, which is responsible for specific mRNA codon recognition, and the 3' end, to which the tRNAs corresponding amino acid is attached (by aminoacyl-tRNA synthetases). tRNAs cope with the degeneracy of the genetic code in two manners: having more than one tRNA (with a specific anti-codon) for a particular amino acid; and 'wobble' base-pairing, i.e. permitting non-standard base-pairing at the 3rd anti-codon position.
Source: RNAcentral